Molecule: long non-coding RNA, 1530 nt
Filed under: Homo sapiens (human)
Lineage: Eukaryota; Metazoa; Chordata; Mammalia; Primates; Hominidae
Description: HSALNT0350868
Source: RNAcentral
CAUCCUUUCCUACUUGGAGCUUAGGGCCGAAACCAUGAGGCGAUUUCUCUACUUUGCUGGCUGUGUUUCCUGAGCAAGUGACAAGAUGGAGCUGAUUAAAAGAAGACAAGGGAAGUCUCAGUGCCAGACCACUUCAGAAAUGAAGCAUUCCAGAAAGGAGCUUCCUUUCUUCCCCACUCCCUGUGGCCACCUGCCGCUGCCGAAGAAUUCCUCUAGCGGGUGGAAAAAGCCUUCCAGACUGUAAUUAGAUGGAGGGAGAAAUUGUGUCUGUGCAAAUACUUAAGUAGUAUGAAGAGUAUGAAUUGAAUUUCUGUCUCAGGGAAAUCAGAUAAAAGGUGGGUAUAGGAGGUAAGUAUCAGUACUUGAAGAGAAGGCUGAGGAUGAAGGAGAAGUCAACUGGGGGUGAAAAAGUCAUGAAGAUUUAGAGAAUUGCCCAGAGUCAGAUCUUUGUGUCUUAAAGUGGAAGCUGUGUUCUGAGGAAUGUUCUUUGUGGAGUGCCAUGAUACACUUUAAGCAAGUUUGAAUUUAAGGUUGUUUUUGUUGCUGCUGUUUUAAAAAACUGAGUUGCUUUCAAGAGAUGAAGAUUUUUCCCAGGGAAUUCUUUAAUGUUGGAGCUUGAGGACAGAGUUUAGAUACUAAUGAGGUCUCUGCCUUCAAGGGAUUUAUAAUCAAAUUUGGAGAACUAUGGAAUGAGAUAAGACAACUGUCAAUACAAAUAUAUAGAACAUCCUGCUUAUCAUUGGCCCUCCCCUCACAUACACAUCCUGUUGGCUUCACGUCUGCUGGAUGUGUGGGUCUUUUGGGAUUGGGCUGUCAGAACUGCUGUUACUAGGAGGUAAGCAGUUAGAAAGUUCUUCCUGAACCUGGAGGAGUUGGCACUCUGUGUUGUUCCUCCCUGUUGUAUAUUUUUGUUCAAACUAGAAGGUUUUUAUUCCAGUAAAAAAAAAAAAUUGUAACCCAUGUAUGAAAACAAGUCAUUGAUACAAAAGAUGAAAAAGAACAUAGACCAGAUCUGGACUGGAUAUUAAGAGAAUGGGCCAAUGAGAAAAGCAAAGUAAGCCCCUAUCCUCCCCCAUGCUGGACCAUUUUCAAACUCCUUUCAGAGGCAUCCUCACAACCAUCCUGUGAAGGCCUGAAGGCAAGUGGUAGAGACCAGGUUUAUACUUGGAUUGUUUCUGCUUCUGUAAAUGAGAGAGCUUGGAGGAAAUGAUUGUUGUGUUAGCAACCUCCAACAAGGCCCCUGAUGUUCCCUGCCACCUUGUAUUCAUGUUCCUGGGUAAUUUAUCCCCUUGAGUGUAUACUGGAUCUAGUGAUUCCUAAUGAGUAGAAUACAGCAGAAGUGAUGGGAUGUCACUUCUGAGAUUAGGUUAUAAAAAGACUGUGGCUUCUGUUUUAGGAACUCUCUCAUUCUUUCUGUCUCUUGGAUAUUCUUACUCUGGGGAAAGGAAGCUACCCAUUUUGUGAAGAACCAAAAGCCAGAGAAGAUUUGAGGCUGGCCAAAAGCCACAUGAGAGAGCCCAGAAGCAGAUC